GUAGGUGGCAAGCGUUGUCCGGAAUUAUUGGGCGUAAAGCGCACGCAGAUGGUUCUUUAAGUCUGAUGUGAAAGCCCCCGGCUCAACCGGGGAGGGUCAUUGGAAACUGGGGAACUUGAGUGCAGGAGAGGAAAGUGGAAUUCCACGUGUAGCGGUGAAAUGCGUAGAUAUGUGGAGGAACACCAGUGGCGAAGGCGACUUUCUGGCCUGUAACUGACACUGAGGCGCGAAAGCGUGGGGAGCAAACAGGGAUUAGAUACCCUGGUAGUCCACGCCGUAAACGAUGAGUGCUAAGUGUUGGGGGGGUUUCCGCCCCCUCAGUGCUGCAGCUAACGCAUUAAGCACUCCGCCUGGGAGUACGGUCGCAAGACUG
Molecule: ribosomal RNA, 373 nt
Filed under: uncultured organism
Description: partial 16S ribosomal RNA
Rfam family: Bacterial small subunit ribosomal RNA
Source: RNAcentral